RNAcentral lists this long non-coding RNA (607 nucleotides) under Homo sapiens (human). RNAcentral describes it as "HSALNT0275760". The record is from RNAcentral. Lineage: Eukaryota; Metazoa; Chordata; Mammalia; Primates; Hominidae.
GGAAAUCAAGAGCCAUGAUUUGGCAGCUUCCCCAGGAGAGAGUCCGGAAAGACCAGGGACAAUGAAAGUGGAGGAGCAGCCAGGAAAGGAGAAGCCACUGUGUCUGCAGGACAGGGGCUCCCAGAGCAAAGGGGAGAUAAAGGGGACACCUGUGACCUCAGGGAGGACACUGCACAUGGCAGGGACACCAUUUUAGCACAACUGGGUGUGUGAGGAGAGGGCACUGUGAGAAGUCAAGUGCCUGGAGCUGUGGCAGAGAAAGAGGCAGCAUCUGCAAGAGCUGAAGGUGUGAGAUCAUGGUCACUGGCUCCUGCUGCAUGUCAGCGUCUCCCUGUCACCCAGGCCCGCCCCAUCGCCAGGUGGCUUUGCCAGGUAACUCUCUGCUUCCCCCUGGUGGCCGCUCCACACUGUGGGCUGGGGGCUCAGGGACUUCCUGGGUCUAGGUGUGGAUUCAGAACCUGCUGUUCAGGUCCCUGAUGCCCUGAUCCGAGGACUGCUGGUCCCAGGGGAGGAACACCUCUUCUCUGUGUGGCCCCUGCCUGACUCAAGAUCAGGUACAAGGGGCUCAGCUUACCCAAUAAAAUACAAAAGUAUAUAUGUAGAAACA